UAAUACGGAGGGUGCAAGCGUUGUCCGGAAUCAUUGGGUGUAAAGGGUGCGUAGGCGGGUUUUUAAGUCUGGGGUGAAAGGCUGCGGCUCAACCGUAGGAUUGCCUUGGAUACUGGAGACCUUGAGUGUAACAGAGGCCGGUAGAAUUCGUGGUGUAGCGGUGAAAUGCAUAGAUAUCACGAAGAAUACCAGUGGCGUAGGCGGCCGGCUGGGUUACAACUGACGCUGAGGCACGAGAGCGUGGGGAGCAAACAGG
Molecule: ribosomal RNA, 256 nt
Filed under: uncultured archaeon
Lineage: Archaea
Description: partial 16S ribosomal RNA
Rfam family: Bacterial small subunit ribosomal RNA
Source: RNAcentral